This is a long non-coding RNA of Cucumis sativus (cucumber), 1970 nucleotides long. RefSeq lists it as uncharacterized. The transcript has 2 exons. Lineage: Eukaryota; Viridiplantae; Streptophyta; Magnoliopsida; Cucurbitales; Cucurbitaceae. The record is from RefSeq and is a predicted model, not a curated record.
AAAAAGAAGAAAAAAGAAAGAAAAAACCUCUCAAUAAGCAUAAACUUCAUGUCUUAAUGAUGUUAGUACCCAAAAACAUGAGUCAUUACAAUUUGUUUGAAGUAUUUUACACCGAACAAAGAAGUCAAACCACUGGUUAAGUUUUUUUCCCAUUAUUAAUAACUCCUCAACACGAUAAUUUAACAUUUAUCAUGUUAAAAAAAGUGCCUCAAUAGCACCGUCUGCAUUUUUAAAACAGUGGGAGGAAGUUCAUUAAGGCAAGAAAGGCAAUUCGGGUGGUCGUGACCUCUUUAAAAGAUGCACAGCUUAUCAAUUCAGAAAAGGUACCUGAAGCAAAGAGAGGUCAGUUGCUAGCUGAGACAAAAUGCCAGCAACAAAAGCAUCCCCUGCACCAGUGGUGUCAACUGCAUCCACCUUUAGACCCUUAACUCUUCCACUGAAUUCCUGCAUAAUACAAAUCACCAUGCACUUUCAAUUCAAACAUUAUAUGAUCAGUUACUGACUAUCUUUAUGAGAGUAGAGAUGAGAGUAGUUGUUGGGCACUUACAAGCACUAUAGUAUAAUAGAAUAAAGAGCCAUGAGUCAUGAGUCAUGACAACUAGAUUACAGUAGGAUAAGGUAACGGAUGCUGAAGCUCAUUCACCAAAGUGAGUAUAGCUUAAUUGGCUAGCAACCAAAAGGCCAGUGGUUUGAAACCCCUAUUUUACUUCAACAACAAAAAAACAAACUCCUUGUCAUCCUCCCUUCAACCAAGGAAUCAUCAAGCCUUUCCUCAACAGUGUUUGUGAUGAGCAUGUUUCUUGAUUAAAUAAACCAAAUCAAUUACCCAACCCUAGCCACUGCGUCAAAACCCAGCAGAGGAGAAACGGCAAAGAAUGAGCAUGUUUAAAAAAUUAUCUACCGUGAUGAUCUUCCUUGCCGUUUUUUGGUUUGAUGUUUUGCCAUAUUGACUUAGUUCAUUUUGGCUUGUUCAUGCUUAACACAGAAGCUGCUACCCGGCAAGAUCAAUCCAUGAUUGACUCUGAAAUGGCAUGUUGGAAUUCUUGUCAAGGAAGAAAAAGAGUUGGGAUUCUCUAAAAAGAAGUCAGACAAUCAAGGCAGGGAUUGUUGGCCUGGAAUCUCAGUCUCCCCUCAUACACUGGGAAGUAAUUUUCUUUUUCUUUAUAUGGUAAUUUGUCGAAUGCAAAAUAUGAGCACAAUGUACGAUAUGCUCACCUUGGUGUAAUAUCUACAGCCGCCAGGACCUUCAGUGACCAGAAGCAAUUUAAGAUUUGGAUGAAACAGUUUACGAACAACAGCAUCAUCAAAUGGAUCUUCUCCUCUUGUCAGAAAACUAAUCUCUUCUUCACUUAUCUGAAAAUUUAGAGUAAUAUAUAUGUCAGCUUUCCUUUUUCUUUAUUUGAUAUCUCAUUUAAAAUUUCACAUUGGCCGGACAGGUUAGUUACGCCCACAGAUCUACAGCAUUUAUCUUGAUGAUUUCAUGCGAAAGUAUGGAAUCUACCUUAAUAAUAUCAGCAGUCUCCCAUAUGCUCAGAAUCCCUUCAAUUGCACUAUCUGCAGAAGGCCACAGAGGGAGCCUCAGAUUCGGAUCAUAGGAAAGAACUGCACCAGCAUCUUUUGCGGCUUUUGCAGCGGCAAUGUGAGCAGACUUGCAUGGUUCAGUAAUCAGACUGAUAGAACCAUAAUGGAAGAUCUUUGCCUAUGAAACCAGAUGAUAAAGAUCAAAUGUAUGCUUAGUGACAUGCCCCCGAUCCCCUCCCCCAACAGAACACAAAAAAGGUGGCGGAAUUGAAAUAAAAGGUAAAGCAAAAGUAUGCAUACAAAAUUAUAGUAAUAUUCCCUAAUCUAUUAGCUUAAAGCAUAAAGCUAAUAGAUUGACAUUGUAUCAAAUCAUGAAGCCCUAAACGCAAAGCGUUGCAAUGUUAUUUCUUUACGGAUGGAUAUUGAUAGUCACUUGUUGAGUCUUAUCA